UGUGAAGAUGCAGUGUACCCGCGGCAAGACGGAAAGACCCCGUGAACCUUUACUAUAGCUUGACACUGAACAUUGAGCCUUGAUGUGUAGGAUAGGUGGGAGGCUUUGAAGCGUGGACGCCAGUCUGCGUGGAGCCGACCUUGAAAUACCACCCUUUAAUGUUUGAUGUUCUAACGUGGACCCGUAAUCCGGGUUGCGGACAGUGUCUGGUGGGUAGUUUGACUGGGGCGGUCUCCUCCUAAAGAGUAACGGAGGAGCACGAAGGUUGGCUAAUCCUGGUCGGACAUCAGGAGGUUAGUGCAAUGGCAUAAGCCAGCUUGACUGCGAGCGUGACGGCGCGAGCAGGUGCGAAAGCAGGUCAUAGUGAUCCGGUGGUUCUGAAUGGAAGGGCCAUCGCUCAACGGAUAAAAGGUACUCCGGGGAUAACAGGCUGAUACCGCCCAAGAGUUCAUAUCGACGGCGGUGUUUGGCACCUCGAUGUCGGCUCAUCACAUCCUGGGGCUGAAGUAGGUCCCAAGGGUAUGGCUGUUCGCCAUUUAAAGUGGUACGCGAGCUGGGUUUAGAACGUCGUGAGACAGUUCGGUCCCUAUCUGCCGUGGGCGCUGGAGAACUGAGGGGGGCUGCUCCUAGUACGAGAGGACCGGAGUGGACGCAUCACUGGUGUUCGGGUUGUCAUGCCAAUGGCACUGCCCGGUAGCUAAAUGCGGAAGAGAUAAGUGCUGAAAGCAUCUAAGCACGAAACUUGCCCCGA
RNAcentral lists this ribosomal RNA (751 nucleotides) under Salmonella enterica. Its description in RNAcentral is "partial 23S ribosomal RNA". It matches the Rfam family "Bacterial large subunit ribosomal RNA", at positions 2052 to 2802 of the family's 2925-position model. The record is from RNAcentral. Lineage: Bacteria; Pseudomonadati; Pseudomonadota; Gammaproteobacteria; Enterobacterales; Enterobacteriaceae.